This 251-nucleotide ribosomal RNA is filed under the name uncultured prokaryote. RNAcentral describes it as "partial 16S rRNA". It matches the Rfam family "Bacterial small subunit ribosomal RNA", at positions 525 to 775 of the family's 1533-position model. The record is from RNAcentral.
ACGUAGGGGGCAAGCGUUGUCCGGAAUUACUGGGCGUAAAGGGUGCGUAGGCGGUAUGGUAAGUUAGAUGUGAAAUCCCCGGGCUUAACUCGGGAGUUGCAUUUAAAACUGUCAGACUAGAGUGCAGGAGAGGAAAGCGGAAUUCCUAGUGUGGCGGUGCAAUGCGUAUAUAUUAGGAGGAACACCAAUGGCGAAGGCGGCUUUCUGGGCUGUAUCUGACGCUGAUGCCCGAAAGCGUGGGGAUCGAACAG